AAGUCGUAACAAGGUUUUCGUAGGUGAACCUGCGGAAGGAUCAUUAAAUUAAUAUUUUUUAAUCUAAUAAAAAAACUUUUUUUUUGAUUUGUUUUGUUUAUUAAUAUAUCACUUAGGGGAACAACUUUUUUCUCACUCUCUAAAUCCAACUCUGUUGAUUGGGGUUGAAAAAUAGGCUUAAACCCUAAGUUUUUUUUUUUUUUUUUUUUAAACAAACAAUUCCCAAUCUUUUUAUUUUUUUUGGGGGCCACCUUUAACCAUUUAUUUAAAACAUUUUAGUGCUUAUAAACACAUUCUAAAUUUAAUUUUUUAGUCUUAACUAUAAAAUAACUUUCAACAACGGAUCUCUAGGCUCUU
RNAcentral lists this unclassified non-coding RNA (357 nucleotides) under fungal sp. RNAcentral's name for it is "partial internal transcribed spacer region". The stretch from base 1 to 46 matches the Rfam family "Eukaryotic small subunit ribosomal RNA", at positions 1786 to 1831 of the family's 1831-position model. The record is from RNAcentral. Lineage: Eukaryota; Fungi.